GCACGGGGCUGCCCAGAGAUUAAGCCUACAGGGUGUGACCUUUCUGGAGAAAUCAGGGAAUUUGCUGUGGCUGUCGCUUGCUCUGGACACACAGAAAGGCAAAGGCAGGGCGUGAGUCCUUAUCGCUCACUGCGCGUAAUCACAGAGGCAGAGUUUACCCAGAGCAAGGCCAACACUUAGCGUGUCGCUGGGCACCCAGGAGUCUUAUCGCGGAGUGAUAAAUCUGUUUCCUAGUGGCUGAGUAAACUCUGUGUGUCAUGGUUUCAAAUGGGGGGGGGGGCAGUGAAGGCAAACACCCACACGGCUCACUCAUUCAGGGGCUCUGCUGAGACAGAGGAAGCAGCCGAUAAGCUUGGAAAAUGCGAGUUGCAGAACGAGAUCCAGUCUAACAACAGCCUGCACCCUGACACCUUGACCCUCAGAAGGAAGAGGCAGGAAAGACAUACAGUACAGCUCAGAAGACAUUCUGCUGUGGACGACCAGAAACAGUGGUCGAAAUAAAGCUAAUCAACAUGAAUAAAUAGAAAAUACAA
Long non-coding RNA from Lepisosteus oculatus (spotted gar), 533 nucleotides. RefSeq lists it as uncharacterized. Lineage: Eukaryota; Metazoa; Chordata; Actinopteri; Semionotiformes; Lepisosteidae. The record is from RefSeq and is a predicted model, not a curated record.